This 1371-nucleotide ribosomal RNA is filed under the name uncultured bacterium. RNAcentral describes it as "bacterial SSU rRNA". It matches the Rfam family "Bacterial small subunit ribosomal RNA", at positions 28 to 1381 of the family's 1533-position model. The record is from RNAcentral.
GAUGAACGCUGGCGGCGUGCCUAAUACAUGCAAGUCGAGCGAACGGACGAGAAGCUUGCUUCUCUGAUGUUAGCGGCGGACGGGUGAGUAACACGUGGAUAACCUACCUAUAAGACUGGGAUAACUUCGGGAAACCGGAGCUAAUACCGGAUAAUAUUUUGAACCGCAUGGUUCAAAAGUGAAAGACGGUCUUGCUGUCACUUAUAGAUGGAUCCGCGCCGCAUUAGCUAGUUGGUAAGGUAACGGCUUACCAAGGCAACGAUGCAUAGCCGACCUGAGAGGGUGAUCGGCCACACUGGAACUGAGACACGGUCCAGACUCCUACGGGAGGCAGCAGUAGGGAAUCUUCCGCAAUGGGCGAAAGCCUGACGGAGCAACGCCGCGUGAGUGAUGAAGGUCUUCGGAUCGUAAAACUCUGUUAUUAGGGAAGAACAUAUGUGUAAGUAACUGUGCACAUCUUGACGGUACCUAAUCAGAAAGCCACGGCUAACUACGUGCCAGCAGCCGCGGUAAUACGUAGGUGGCAAGCGUUAUCCGGAAUUAUUGGGCGUAAAGCGCGCGUAGGCGGUUUUUUAAGUCUGAUGUGAAAGCCCACGGCUCAACCGUGGAGGGUCAUUGGAAACUGGAAAACUUGAGUGCAGAGAAGAAAGUGGAAUUCCAUGUGUAGCGGUGAAAUGCGCAGAGAUAUGGAGGAACACCAGUGGCGAAGGCGACUUUCUGGUCUGUAACUGACGCUGAUGUGCGAAAGCGUGGGGAUCAAACAGGAUUAGAUACCCUGGUAGUCCACGCCGUAAACGAUGAGUGCUAAGUGUUAGGGGGUUUCCGCCCCUUAGUGCUGCAGCUAACGCAUUAAGCACUCCGCCUGGGGAGUACGACCGCAAGGUUGAAACUCAAAGGAAUUGACGGGGACCCGCACAAGCGGUGGAGCAUGUGGUUUAAUUCGAAGCAACGCGAAGAACCUUACCAAAUCUUGACAUCCUUUGACAACUCUAGAGAUAGAGCCUUCCCCUUCGGGGGACAAAGUGACAGGUGGUGCAUGGUUGUCGUCAGCUCGUGUCGUGAGAUGUUGGGUUAAGUCCCGCAACGAGCGCAACCCUUAAGCUUAGUUGCCAUCAUUAAGUUGGGCACUCUAAGUUGACUGCCGGUGACAAACCGGAGGAAGGUGGGGAUGACGUCAAAUCAUCAUGCCCCUUAUGAUUUGGGCUACACACGUGCUACAAUGGACAAUACAAAGGGCAGCGAAACCGCGAGGUCAAGCAAAUCCCAUAAAGUCGUUCUCAGUUCGGAUUGUAGUCUGCAACUCGACUACAUGAAGCUGGAAUCGCUAGUAAUCGUAGAUCAGCAUGCUACGGUGAAUACGUUCCCGGGUCU